This 301-nucleotide ribosomal RNA is filed under the name uncultured bacterium. RNAcentral describes it as "partial 16S ribosomal RNA". It matches the Rfam family "Bacterial small subunit ribosomal RNA", at positions 509 to 809 of the family's 1533-position model. The record is from RNAcentral.
CAGUCGCCGCGGUAAAACGGAGGGUGCAAGCGUUACUCGGAAUCACUGGGCGUAAAGGACGCGUAGGCGGAUUACCAAGUCUCUUGUGAAAUCUAACGGCUUAACCGUUAAACUGCUUGGGAAACUGAUAAUCUAGAGUAAGGGAGAGGCAGAUGGAAUUCUUGGUGUAGGGGUAAAAUCCGUAGAUAUCAAGAAGAAUACCUAUUGCGAAGGCGAUCUGCUGGAACUUAACUGACGCUAAUGCGUGAAAGCGUGGGGAGCAAACAGGAUUAGAUACCCCCGUAGUCCCUGUCUCUUAUAA